UCUCCGUUGGUGAACCAGCGGAGGGAUCACUAUCGAGUUUAGAACUCCCAAACCCUAUGUGAACUUACCACUUGUUGCUUCGGCGCGCGCUUCGGCGCCGCCGAGGACACUUAAACUCUUUGUUUUUAUAAGCAUUUCUGAGCGGCCGAAAGGCAAAAUACAAAUGAAUCAAAACUUUCAACAACGGAUCUCUUGGUUCUG
RNAcentral lists this unclassified non-coding RNA (201 nucleotides) under plant metagenome. RNAcentral describes it as "partial contains small subunit ribosomal RNA, internal transcribed spacer 1, and 5.8S ribosomal RNA". The record is from RNAcentral.